RNAcentral lists this ribosomal RNA (156 nucleotides) under Salmonella enterica. RNAcentral's name for it is "partial 23S ribosomal RNA". It matches the Rfam family "Bacterial large subunit ribosomal RNA", at positions 2775 to 2925 of the family's 2925-position model. Lineage: Bacteria; Pseudomonadati; Pseudomonadota; Gammaproteobacteria; Enterobacterales; Enterobacteriaceae. RNAcentral also lists the same sequence under 1 other name. The record is from RNAcentral.
AAGCAUCUAAGCACGAAACUUGCCCCGAGAUGAGUUCUCCCUGAGACUUUAGGUCUCCUGAAGGAACGUUGAAGACGACGACGUUGAUAGGCCGGGUGUGUAAGCGCAGCGAUGCGUUGAGCUAACCGGUACUAAUGAACCGUGAGGCUUAACCUU